This 331-nucleotide ribosomal RNA is filed under the name uncultured soil bacterium. Its description in RNAcentral is "bacterial SSU rRNA". It matches the Rfam family "Bacterial small subunit ribosomal RNA", at positions 26 to 353 of the family's 1533-position model. The record is from RNAcentral.
AGAGUGAACGCUGGCGGUAGGCCUAACACAUGCAAGUCGAACGGCAGCACAGGAGAGCUUGCUCUCUGGGUGGCGAGUGGCGGACGGGUGAGGAAUACAUCGGAAUCUACCUUUUCGUGGGGGAUAACGUAGGGAAACUUACGCUAAUACCGCAUAAGACCUUCGGGUGAAAGCCGGGGACCUUCGGGCCUGGCGCGGAUAGAUGAGCCGAUGUCGGAUUAGCUUGUUGGCGGGGUAAAAGCCCACCAAGGCGACGAUCCGUAGCUGGUCUGAGAGGAUGAUCAGCCACACUGGAACUGAGACACGGUCCAGACUCCUACGGGAGGCAGCA